UUCUCAACCAUAUGGUACCUAUACAGUCUUGUAGAUUUAGAUGAGCCAGGGAGGUUCCCCUGAAACAAAAGGAGGUAUUCUCCUCUGCCCUGUUUGCCUUUCAUAUGUGCUUCAUCACUUACAUAAGGUGAAACCUCUGUCCUUCCUAGAAAUGCGUCAAAAAAUUCCCCAUGUAGUCACAACAAUACAUGCUCAAAGUAUAGAAACCCGUUAUAGAGGAGCAUUCUUACAUGUGAUAGACUCUGUCUAUAAUUAACAGAAUGUAAUGAUUUCAAGCCCAUUUUCAACUAUACUAUAGUAUGCUGGACAGUGAGGGAAGGAGGAGGAAAGAUGGAUGGGAAAGGAAGGAAGAGAAGAAAGGAAGAAAAAAGAAAGGAAGGAAAAGAAAGAAAGACUUGGCCCAAUAACUGCUUCUUAGGAGCCUACAACUGAAGACAAAUGAAAGCAAUAUAUAUUGUACCGGUCAUAAAAGUGAUCCAGUGCCAGCAUGGACAGUUCUGUGUUUGGAUUUGACAUUUGCAUUUACAGACAUGGUGAAGUGCCAUGGAUGAGCAGUUUUUCAGUUGUCUAUAUGCUUGACCCAGUGCUAGGCUCUGGGGUUGGACAUGAUCAUAUAUAAUUCACUUUCUUUCCUGUUAAGGGAUGACAAAGGCAGUACCACCAAGGCUGGUCUCAAGGAUGAUGGCUUGGUUUUGAACAACACUGCAUUCAUUUUGUUCAGCUACCAAAUCAAGCAAGGAAGUAAUGUAAAUCAGACAACCAGAUAGAUCUAGCAUCCUUGGUGGCUUUCAUAGGUUCAGUUCCCCAUUGCUACCUUGUCACCUAUGGAAGCACACUUGAAAGCAGGCUUUUCUACCUUCAUGGAGUGAGAGAGCAGCUUGGGAAUUCCUGCUGUGAUGCAGUGGGUUAAGAAUCUGGUUGCAGUGGCUCAGGUUGCUGCAGAGGUGCAGGUUUGAUCGCCUGGCCUGGGGUAGCAGAUUAAGGAUAUGGCCAUUGCCACAGCUGCAGGUUCAUUCCCUGGCCUGGGAACUUCCAUAUGCUGUGGGUGCAUCCAUUAAAACAAACAAGCAAACAUACAAAAACAAAACCCUGUCAUCAAUUUUCAGAGAAGUUAGGGAAUGUUACCCACUUUUAUUUCUGAUUUCAUAUUUGUAAUUUGUUGAAUAAAAAUUCUACGAACUUCAGACCCAUGACACUUAGAACCCAUCCCUAAACAUUUAUGUUCUGUUUUUUUUUGCCUAUUUCCAAAUAUCUCAGCUUAUUUAUGUAAUAUUUUACUUUUUGUUAUUUCUUUUUUUUUCUUCGUUUAUUUUUUGGGGCCUCAUGAAAAGCAUAUGGAAGUUCCUACACUAGGGGUCAAAUCAGAGCUAUAGCUGCUGGUCUACACAGCCAUAGCAACACCAGAUCCAAGCCGUGUCUGUGACCUACACCACAGCUCAUGGCAAUGCCAGAUCCUGGACCCACUGAGCAAGGCCAGGGAUUGAACCUGAAUCCUUAGGUGUAGUAGUCAGAUUUGUUUCCAGUGCACCGCAACGGGAACUCCACUUUUUACUAUUUCAUAUUUAGUUGUUAAUAUCCAAAGAGAAUAAAAUCAUCAUUAGUAGUAGUUAAUACUUAUAACUAAGUGCUACGCAUUGUUCUACAUGCAUUACAUAAACAUUAACUUAAUCCUUUCAAUGACCAUAUGAGAUUGAUACUGUUAUAAUCUGUUUUACAGAUAGAAAACAAGAAUAGGAAGUCUAUGAUCUAAGAUUACACAGUAAGUGGCAGUGCUGGGAUUUGAACUAAGGAUGUAUGGCUUUAGAAUCCAGGCAUGUAAACUCUACUGCUAUGUAUAUAUAUAUAUGAAAACUUUCAAAGAAAUAUAAAAUAUAGAAAGAUAAUAAUAUUACAAAGCAAAAAUAAGCAUGUGUUCAUAAAAUAGAUCCAAAACUGAAGUUAUUACUCAAAAUGACUACCAUAAAUUGCAAUAUGCUUGUUAAGGAGUGUAGGCUAAGUUUAGCUCUAAGCUUUUAUUGCAGUCAAGGAAGUAUCAUAUGUAUCAUUCAGCGAACCUGUGGGAAAGUUGUAUUUUUCCUUAGACAAAUCAAGGUAAAUCUGUACAUUUAGGACCCUGAAUCCUAUUCAACAUAGUACUGCAAAUCGAGGCUAGAUUUUCACCAUGAUGCACGUUAUGACACUUAGUAUUGGAACAUUGCUGCUUAUAGACAUAUGUUCUACAGUUACCUAGUUUUAAAAUACUGUAUAUGCUAAAGGGAUUGCAUGGCAUAAAUGAGAUUAAUAUCCAUAACUCAGUUACUAAAAAGCUUAACCAGUGAUUUAGUCAAACAGAACACAAUUUUUACUCCCUCCAUAAUAUUAAACUUCAUUGAAAGGAGUAAAAGUCUCUUGGCACUAAAGGAAAACUCUGAUAGUCCCAUGAACUUUUGCUGACUUUUAAGUACUGUAGCCACAAACAGUUGCUCAAUUAUCUAAGUUCAGUUUCCAGAUCUGUGUAAUAUUCAAAAUUUUGAGGUUGCUUUAUUAGCAGAUCUUCUCCCUUUGCUCAUUUUGGGUUGGCUUCAGGCCCUUGGUUUUCCUGUUUUGGGUUUUGUUUUAUUUUUGCAGUGUACUGCAAGCUGUAUUCUCUGGUCUAAAGGCCACAUACAACCUCUCCCAUGGAAUACUUUCAUGGUCUUUUCAUAAUUUGGUGCUAAACCCAUUCAGCCGCAGUUUCCUUGACUGAGGCAGACAAAUCUCUAUUCUGGGUGGGCAUUUUCAACUUCUUCCAUACCCCCGACUAGUUUGGUAUUCACCUCCAGCUUCCUGAUGCUUGGGCCCACCAGCUUCUCUAAAAACGACUGCUAGAUAGGACUGAGUUCUGGAUAUAGCCCUAACCCUAAUCCUUACUGCAAAUCUCUUCUGGGAGCCCGCAUACUUACCAAUGGGAAACCGUCCUUUACUGCUGUUCCUGUGAUCCAGUGCUGCAUAGCUAACUACCCCCAAAUCUAGUGGCUUAACACAGCAACUAUUUUAUCUCAUUAUUUUUUGUAGCAAGGAUUCGGGAAUGGGUUGGGUAUUUCUUCUGCUUCAUGUGACACUGGUGGAAGUCACUCCAGGGUACAGCUGGAGGAUAGACUGGUCUUGUGUCUAAGACUUAAAUGUUUAGUAUUUUGGUUUGGAUUAGCUUGAAAGUUGGCUGUCAUCCAGAGUGUUUAACCAUGGCUUCUCUAGCAUGGUGGUGUCUGGGUGGACAGUUUUUUAUAUUUUAGAGCACUAGAGAGAGUGCUCUAAAAGAGAGGCAGUGGGCCAAAAUGGCACUUUGUCAUUUCCACUGUAAUUUAUUGUCAGGACAGUCACAGAGCUUACCUAAAGUCAAGGAUAAGGAAUAUAGCCUCUAAAAAUACAUAGCCUUUACAUAGAGGACUGUAUAUAAAAAGCUGUUAUUAUCUUUGGUCCCCAUGGCGGCUGACAAGCUCUGUGAGUACAGGUCAGACUCCAUGUGCUAUUUCUAUUUUGUUGCCAGAGCACUUUUUAGUUUUCUCUUCCAAGAAUCUGGCGCCCUUAGGCUGCAUCGCUCAACUACACUGAAUGCAUUUCAAAAUUCUUCAUGUGAUCCUGUAAAAGUCCCCACACAAGGCUUGAAGUGGGAGUGGGGACUCAUAGCAAGAAAGCAGCUGUGUCCAAAGAAAUCUCUCCACCCAUCUUCCCCUCUCCCCACAUUCUAAUGCCUACUGAUAUCUUUGAUCCAGUUGAGGGUUCCAGGAGUUGUGCAAUGAUUCUGACACAUUUCCUUUGUAAAUUUUGCAUGUGGGGAUUUGUCUGGCACUGGCUUUGAUUUAUGACAUAGAAUGUAUUGGCACCUCAGUCGAAACUAAGGCAUAAAGACUUCCAUUUUAACAUCCUGUUAGGGGGAGACUAGGAGGAGUUUGGUGACAGAAGAACUUAUGUUUUAGAUGAUCAUCAAGGCAGAAAGGGAUGUGGGCCCAAUUUGUUGCAGGUGUGCUGAGGAAAAGAAGCCCUACAGCCCCCAGGACACAGGGGGAGAGGACCUUGAAGCUGUCUUCUCUUGAUUCAGCUGUGGCCUCAGAGUAGGGUGGUGAAGAGAUCCUGCUGGCUGCAGGGAAGGGUAGGCAGUGGUGGGCACUCAACUGCACCCUUGCACGGGCUGUGGGCCUUCAGCUGCAAAGGCAGCUGUUCUGUGAGAUGUAAGAGUGGAGGUGGGGUGUCUGCGCAGGAGUGGAGCAGACUGCUGGGAAGGGUUCAGACUUCUUGUGGGUACCUCUGCCAGGUGACCUUAAGGAGUCAGUCUACAUGGGUGCUCCUCCAUCACUGGAACAGGUGAAUAACAGGAAGGGUGAGAAACUACAGAGAGAAAGUAUGUCCAUCUGAAGUCCUUGGGGAGAACCCGGCUUAUGGCUAAAAGUGAUGCUUCAUAAGCUAUCUAGGAGUGAGACCCCUAAGAGCCUGCUCAAGUCACAAAAAUGUUUGCUAAACGUCAGUUCUAAGUCUUGUGGACUUACACUCCUUGUGGACUUAGGUUACCAGAGUAGCCAAGUGGCGAUCAGAGCAUUUCUUUUCCAGCCAAUAUCUGUGUUCACAAAGUGACUUCCUUUUUUAAAGAGUAAAUUAUUAAAGAGGUGAGAAAGAGUAACUUUACAGUGGAGAAACAUGAAAAUCACUACCUCAGCCAAACGGCCAAGGUUCAUAGCACCUGUGACAAGUUGUGCUGACAGCAUGUACCCUUGAUGUGAGAAAUGGCACUUCACCUCCAUGAUCUUCCUGCUAAGGACCCAUUACCCCAGUCUAAUCAUGACAAAAAUAUCAGACAAUCUCUGAUUGAGGGACAUGCUACAAAAAUAUGUGACCAGUACUCUUAGACUUGUCGAGGUCUUUAAAAAUAAGUGGAAUUCCCGUCGUGGCGCAGUGGUUAACGAACCCGACUAGGAACCAUGAGGUUCGGUUCGAUCCCUGCCUUUGCUCAGAGGGUUAAGGAUCCAGCAUUGCCAUGAGCUGUGGUGUAGGUCACAGACUUGGCUUGGAUCCCGCAUUGCUGAGGCUCUGGCGUAGGCUGGUGGCUACAGCUCCGAUUCGACCCCUAGCCUGGGAACCUCCAUAUGCUGCGAGAGCGGCCCAAGAAAAUGGC
Molecule: long non-coding RNA, 5125 nt
Filed under: Sus scrofa (pig)
Lineage: Eukaryota; Metazoa; Chordata; Mammalia; Artiodactyla; Suidae
Description: lncRNA (ENSSSCG00000053949.1)
Source: RNAcentral